Molecule: ribosomal RNA, 434 nt
Filed under: Bacillus sp. (in: firmicutes)
Lineage: Bacteria; Bacillati; Bacillota; Bacilli; Caryophanales; Bacillaceae
Description: bacterial SSU rRNA
Rfam family: Bacterial small subunit ribosomal RNA
Source: RNAcentral
UGCAGUCGAGCGGCAAGAUGGGAGCUUGGUCCCUGAUGUUGGCGAGUGACGGAUGAGUGACGAAUGGGUAACCUGCCUGUAAGACUGGGAUAACUCCGGGAAACCGGGGCUAAUACCGGAUGGUUGUUUGAACCGCAUGGUUCAAACAUACUACGGGGCUUCCGCUACCGAUUGCACAUGGACCCGAUUAGCUUUAUCUAGUUGGUGAGGUAACGGCUCACCACGGUCCCUAUGCGUACCCAACCUGAGAGGGUGAUCGGCCACACUGAGACUGAGACCCGACCCAUACUCCUACGGGAGGCGGCAAAAAGGAAUCUUCCGCAAUGGACCAAAGUCUGACGGACCAACGCCGCGUGAAUGAUGAAGGUUUUCGGAUCGCAAAGCUCUGUUGUUAAGGAACAACAAGUACCGUUCCAAUUGGGCUGACCCUUGAC